ACAAAAGUAUUUUUUGAACAAAACUACUUAUUUCAAUCCACUCAAAAUUUAUUUAAUACUGAAAUUGUCCGUGCAUGACCUAAAUAAGUGUUACUAUUUUUAAACUAUAAACAUCGUACAUUUAUGCUUUGGCUUGUGUUGUCAAAUCGGCAUUAAUGGCCAUUUAAUAUCCGGUUCAACAUGGACACGAUUGAUUUCAUUCAAGAUAGAGGUAUUUUUGUUAAUACCGUUAUGUAGUUUUUAUAAACUGCUUUGCUUUCAAAGUAAAUCAGGAAAUAUCGUACAACUAAAUUUUUGUCCGAACCAUCGCAUGCUUCCGAAUCUCAUCUACUCGUAUGGUUCCUAUGUAAACAAUGGCUUUUGUAGCUGUCAUUCCGACACAUUUCAUAGAUUUCUUAUUUUCAUAUCAGCACUUUGUCGACGGGAAAUCCAAUCAAGAAAACCCUGACUCUCAAGCAGCUACUGUAUUUGACCAGCUCACACCAGCUAGGCCUCCUCCAAAACUCAGAUAAAUAUUUGAGCCACCAAAACAAAACGAGAACAGAUCGGUCUGAAUCGUUAAGAACUGAAGCUAACAUCAUAGAGGUACAUCCUUCCAAGAAUCCAUCAAAACAACAUGCUGAACAACUUCAAGAACUCUCUUCAAAAGACCACACUUUCCUGAAAUAAAUAAAAGAUGCCAAUAUUAAAAUAAAUCAGUUACAUGUAUUGUUAAAUAUUUUAAUACUAGCUGUAAAUGCUACUGCCUUUGAUGUUUGCUUUCUACAUGUAUAUCAUAAUGAAAUAUUGACAAGAUAAUAGCUAAUGUUU
This is a long non-coding RNA of Mya arenaria, 810 nucleotides long. RefSeq lists it as uncharacterized. The transcript has 2 exons. Lineage: Eukaryota; Metazoa; Mollusca; Bivalvia; Myida; Myidae. The record is from RefSeq and is a predicted model, not a curated record.